Non-coding RNA from Pelobates cultripes (western spadefoot toad), 69 nucleotides. The record is from the annotation of a GenBank genome assembly. Lineage: Eukaryota; Metazoa; Chordata; Amphibia; Anura; Pelobatidae.
GUGUAUAUAAUGCAGAGUGUGUAGUGUGUGCAUUAUAUAUACACACUACACACUCUGCAUUAUAUACAA